UACAGAGGUCCCAAGCGUUGUUCGGAUUCACUGGGCGUAAAGGGUGCGUAGGUGGCAUGGUAAGUCGGAUGUGAAAUCCCGGGGCUCAACCCCGGAACUGCAUUCGAUACUGCUGCGCUAGAGUACUGGAGAGGAGAUUGGAAUUUACGGUGUAGCAGUGAAAUGCGUAGAUAUCGUAAGGAAGACCAGUGGCGAAGGCGGAUCUCUGGACAGUUACUGACACUGAGGCACGAAGGCCAGGGGAGCAAACGGG
RNAcentral lists this ribosomal RNA (253 nucleotides) under uncultured bacterium. RNAcentral's name for it is "partial 16S ribosomal RNA". It matches the Rfam family "Bacterial small subunit ribosomal RNA", at positions 524 to 776 of the family's 1533-position model. The record is from RNAcentral.